Oncorhynchus gorbuscha (pink salmon) is the source of this 1015-nucleotide long non-coding RNA. RefSeq lists it as uncharacterized. NCBI's taxonomy places the organism in Eukaryota, Metazoa, Chordata, Actinopteri, Salmoniformes, Salmonidae. The record is from RefSeq and is a predicted model, not a curated record. The transcript is spliced from 6 exons.
CUUGCGCAUGGCCGAAAGUCUAAAAGAAACGAGGCGCGAGCAAAGAAAAUAACGGUUUACUUUGUUUGCAUUUUGCAGCACAAGCAAAAUAUUACCAAACAUAGUGUGUCACAGAAAAAUAAUUGGGCCGAGUCUGGAAAAAAACCAUCAGGCAGACAUAAUGACCAGUAUAUCACCUCAAAGUUGCCAGGAGGUGAUAAACCUAGAGGGAGCGAAUGAGACACACAACUUCAAAGGGUGUCAGUGGUUGGUUUAAGCAUGAUGACCAGAAUAUGAGGAGUAGAGAUUGAGAGUAGGAAAGAUGAUGAGAAGUUGGAAGGUGUACCGGCUGUUUGAAGAAGAGGACCAAGGUGCAGCGUGACAUCAGGGCUGGUGGAUCCACACCCUUCCUCCAACCCCCAAAAGCAGCACUCCCAAGACAUAGCUGUCAAAACCCUCCCAGACAGCAUGGUAGAAUGACUUCAAACCUUGAACUGGAAAGCGGGAAUGCAAACUAGUCACAAUUUGAAUACAAAAGCAGAAAAAAAAUUGAAUGCAUUCUGGGACCAGGAGGCAAAGAAACCGCUGUGCCCAACCAAAGUGUCUGCCAUUUGCACGUUUUUUUAUUAUGCGAAACCAGAUGGAGAAGAAGGAAGUCUUAAAAAUAAUUAUAUUGAAGCAUAACAAUGAGUCGAAAUUGCUUAAGAAGUCCAAGAUUUAGGUUUAAACUGUAGUAACUUGGAGGCUAAGGCGUAACUUUUUUAUUUGUUAACUCAGUGAAAAAGUAUUUAAAAAAUGUAAUAUGAUGUUCUCGUAUCUUAAUGUACACUGAACAAAAAAAUGUGGGUCUACUAUAGUUAUUGCUGUUGUAUCACUAUAAGAUUGCUAUAAUAUUACUGUAAGAUAUACCAUUUGUACAGUUGAAGUUGGAAAAUUACAUACACUUAGGUUGGAGUCAUUAAAACUCAUUUUUCAACCACUCCAAAAAUGUCUUGUUAACCAAACUAUAGUUUUGGGAAGUCGGUUAGGACAUCUA